Molecule: ribosomal RNA, 465 nt
Filed under: uncultured bacterium
Lineage: Bacteria
Description: partial 16S ribosomal RNA
Rfam family: Bacterial small subunit ribosomal RNA
Source: RNAcentral
AAUGAACGUUGGCGGCGUGGAUUAGGCAUGCAAGUCGAGCGAGAACCCCGCAAGGGGGGACCGCGGCGAAAGGGACAGUAAUGUGUAGAUUAUCUGCCCUCAGGUCCGGGAUAGCUGCGGGAAACUGCAGGUAAUACCGGAUAACAUCUCCGGAUCAAAGGUGUGAUUCCGCCUGAGGAUGAGUCUGCAUCCUAUUAGCUAGUUGGUGGGGUAAUGGCCUACCAAGGCAUUGAUGGGUAGCAGGUGUGAGAGCACGACCUGCGUCAUUGGGACUGAGACACUGCCCAGACACCUACGGGUGGCUGCAGUCGAGAAUCUUCGGCAAUGGGCGCAAGCCUGACCGAGCGACGCCGCGUGUGGGAUGAAGGCCUUCGGGUUGUAAACCACUGUCAGAGGGGAUGAAAUGCAGGUGGGUUCUCCCAUCUGUUUGACAUAGCCUCAGGGGAAGGACGGGCUAAGUUCGUG